GUAGGUGGCGAGCGUUGUCCGGAUUUACUGGGCGUAAAGGGCUUGUAGGCGGUCCGCUAAGUCUGGUGUGAAAUCUCCCGGCUCAACUGGGAGGGGUCAUCGGAUACUGGCGGACUUGAGGGGGGUAGAGGAAAGCAGAAUUCCUGGUGUAGCGGUGAAAUGCGUAGAUAUCAGGAGGAAUACCAGUGGCGAAGGCGGCUUUCUGGGCCUACCCUGACGCUGAGGAGCGAAAGCGUGGGGAGCAAACCGGAUUAGAUACCCGGGUAGUCCACGCCCUAAACGGUGGAUGCUAGGUGUGGGGGGUGUCGACCCCCUCCGUGCCGCAGCUAACGCUUUAAGCAUCCCGCCUGGGGAGUACGGCCGCAAGNCUA
Molecule: ribosomal RNA, 371 nt
Filed under: uncultured bacterium
Lineage: Bacteria
Description: bacterial SSU rRNA
Rfam family: Bacterial small subunit ribosomal RNA
Source: RNAcentral